GGAGCUUCUGGGGAGCCUGGUCCAACCGGUGCAGUAGGAUUCCCUGGGUCUCCUGGUCCCGAUGGGCAACCUGGGGUCAAAGGUGAACCAGGAGAGGGGGUCAGAAGGGUGAGGCUGGAGCACAGGGACUCCAAGGAACAGCUGGUAAACUUGGUUCCCAGGGUCCUGCUGGUGUGACUGGACUAAAGGGGGCCAGAGGAACACAAGGGGCCGCGGGUGGGUCUGGUUUCCCAGGAUUCCCUGGGGGAGUUGGUCCAGCAGGCUCCGUUGGUGAGGUAGGGGCGCCUGGAGACAUUGGUACCCCAGGGAAGGCAGGUACUCCUGGACUUAGAGGCGAGAAUGGAGGCCCUGGGCGUGUAGGAGAGAGGGGGCCCCGGGCCCAGCAGGUGCCCCAGGAGACAAGGGAGAGCCUGGAGAGGAUGGACCAGGGGGCCCUGAUGGGCCGGCGGGACCAGCAGGCAUCUCAGGACAGCGAGGUGUUGUGGGCAUACCUGGAGUCAGAGGAGAGAGCGGGAUGGUUGG
This is a non-coding RNA of Salmo salar (Atlantic salmon), 522 nucleotides long. Lineage: Eukaryota; Metazoa; Chordata; Actinopteri; Salmoniformes; Salmonidae. The record is from RefSeq and is a predicted model, not a curated record.